ACAAGGGAUCGCCACCCAGCUCAGCUCUUUCAUCCGAGAGACAUUCAUGUGGUUCGAGGAGAGACGGUCUUCCUAGUUCGUUCGGCGGCGGCUGGGACGGUCCUCCAAGCUCGGGUUGGUCGAGACCGAGAUGGCGGCUCGUCACAUGGACGUAAGCGAGACGGUACCUCGUCGUUCAACCGUGACGGAACGCAGCGAAGUGAACGCCGAAACGCUGGAGAACCAACCAAGGAAAGACCAAAGUUAUCUCUGAAACCCCGAAAUUUCCCAAUGGAAGAGAGUCCCCACAGCGGCGUAAAGUGGCCAACAAUUCACACGGCGAAGAAUGCUUAAAAGUGACAAGGGAUGAAAGACGGCCAUCUUUUCCGUUCAUAGGAAACACGAUGUUUCGAAAAUUUUGGAGGAGCGGAAACCGCCUCUUCGUGGACGUGAAACUCAUCACCAAGAUGAUAGAAAUCAACGGGAUAAUCCCCAUGACAGUGGUGGCCGUUCUUCUGAACAUCCCAGUGGAGGGCGCGGGCGUUCUAACAAGGGAGAGAAGACGGACGAUCGACGAAACUAUCGCAAUGACAAUCAAGAUCUUUGGCGCCCAGCACGUGAUGGUACUGGCUACUCUGGCGAUUCGCGACAGGCGCCUAAAGAUGAAGAAUAUCGGCCGCCGCACAGGUCGACCGCCGAUCCUAACGAAUACCGUCCGCUAGCCGGAGGCUGAGGGAAGCAGCGGUGGAGGAAAUUAUUAUCGUCCUCCUCGACCCACUGGUUGAACCAAUGGUCAUGACGGAGAUCGCAAUUACUGAGGACCUUCUCCCGCUAGAGAUGGCGACUAUCGUCCACCUCGAGGCGAUAAUUCACGCAAUACGCAAAGAGAAUGGAUUGUCUUGUGGUGGUGGAGCUGGAAUUUACCGCGCUUCCGCCUCGCGUGGAACUGGGCCCAGCAAUGAAAGGUUUCUAUUCGUUUAGACUGAAGGACGCGCAGUCGUGACGAUCACAGCGGAGACAGACGCCGCUCGGCGUCUACUUCUUCUGCAUCCAGCGUGAAUGAAGUUCGAAGAUUGGAAGAGCCCAAAGCGCCCCAACAAGUUUGCAAACCUUCUGGCCGAGGAUGAAGGUGCCGACGGAUCAGACAGCCGAGAUGAACUGAGAAAAGUAAAGGAAGAUGCAAAGUGUUAAGGACCAAAAGGUAGACAGCGAUGGGUGGCUUAAAUACUUCGUUUAUGGUAAUAAUCUCGCUUGCAGGUGCAUCGAAACAUGCUACUGCUGCGUGUCGGGUUAUCGGUUAUCGGCGUUGGAGAUUAAUCGUGCAGCAUGCAGCUGUAUCUUUCGGUUAUGGGUGUCGAAAGCGCUCGUCGAUCUGAUGGGUAAAUGCCUAACAUAUUUGGAAUCAUCGGAAUUUAUGUUGAAUUUCAGCCGCAUAUUUCCUCAAAUAAUUAGGGGGUAAAAUGACGGGGAUUUUGAACAUUCAUCCCUCGCGCAUUUGGAUUCGAAACGAUAAGUGACGUCUUUUUACACAAAUUACGACGAAUAAGAUCAAGUAGAAAAUAAUUUUAAUGUGUUGUAGUGGGAAAAUGCAUAUUCAAAGUCUUUGAAAUCAAUUUCAAAAUCUACCUGUGAAUGUAUGGACAGCGGGAGAUGGAUCGAAUAUUGUUUCAGCCAUUAGUCUGGGAAAAUAGGCAAACAGCCGCUAGAAGUUUAUAUUUUUUUGUUUAGUUUUCUCUCCUUUUUUUCCAAAUUUAUCGAGAUCAAACUCGUGAUAGAUGGGGGGAAACCGAUCGAUGUCUCCCACCCACAGCAACUUCUCUCUUAUAAUCACCUUUUUUUCUUUGAACGGGAAGGACUCGGUUUGAUCAAAAGUGAAUUUGGGUAAAUUCACACACAAAUAUAAUGAGAUCGUUUCCCGGGAUCUAACGCUUGGACACUUAUUAAUUCCCCUUAUCCCCCCCCUUUGUAGCCAUGUUAUUGGUCUUUACACAACGACAGUAAACAAUUGUGCAUUUAAUCCUAUAGACUAUAGUGUAGUUUAGUUUUCUUUAAGAUUUUAUUCCUUUAUACAACUGCGAAAAGUCACACUUCACGCAAUUCUCUAACGCCAUCUUUGUUCGUUUUUAGGAGCCUUCAAUCACCAGUGCUUUAACCCGCCCGGAAACAAACUACCAAAUAGGAGAAAAAUUAAUACGAAAAGGCGAUUCAAGUCUUUAAUAUGAGCAUGAGCAGAAAACCUGGUUGCACUCCGCAAGAAGGAUCGCAGAGAUCAAGAUGUCCAAGGUGGCUCGGGCCGCUAAACCAAGCAUCGGUUAAUACGAGACUAGUGACUUGGAAACAAUUUUAGUACAAAUUUUUACGCUUUUCUUAUGCUAAGAUGUCAAUUUUUUACGAAUAUCAGCCACUAAUGGUCGUUUUCUCCAUUAAAACUGCUAAGAUUGGUAGGGUGGUGGAUUUCGUUUACUUGGGUACCUUUUAUCUUCCAUUUUAACCAGGUCGUUUGCCGACGUGGAAAAUAGCAAACUGUCAAAUCCAUUACGGUAUGCACUAUUUGAUCGAAUUUCUCAAUUACUGGAUCUACAUUUUGUCCGUAUUUAUUGGCUCCUGGUGUAUGGCAAGAUGUUCAGCUGCUAAGUUAUGGCGCGCUAUAGAAGAUAUGCUUGCACAUCCCGUUAUUGUCUCCCGAGGAUACGGCUCACUGCCGCAAUACUUCCGCGUCCAGUGCGUCUUCCGCUGCCUCGUAGCAUUAUUGCUGAACUUGAUUUUAUUUGCAUUCCAAAGUCUCAGCAGCAUUCAGCUGAAACUGAAUUGCUGCCCUCAGUAUCCUCCGUCAACAAAUGCAGCUGUCGUCUGCAAUUAUCAACGCCAAUUUUGCAUCGCCUGCCGAUCAGUCGAGAAACUCUGAUGCUGCACUUUUGGCUUCGUCCUCUUUGCCACCGUUUCCUACACAUUCAUCGGCUUUGUUAACGCGUCCUACAAUCUGCUGAAAUCCAAAAUCCUGCCAUAAUUCCCCGCAGGGAUCGGAUGGCGAGGAAGAUCCCUAC
Molecule: RNA transcript, 3023 nt
Organism: Daphnia pulex (common water flea)
Lineage: Eukaryota; Metazoa; Arthropoda; Branchiopoda; Diplostraca; Daphniidae
Exons: 12
Source: RefSeq, a predicted model, not a curated record